UGGUAGGGGCAUUAUAGGGCAUUAUGCCCACUACACCACUUUUGCUAUAAUGUCUAAGUGUGACUACGAUGCCACAUAUCAGAUAAUGCCCAUGUGUAGGCAUUAUAAAUUGUUACCACUACACAUGGUCUAAUUAAACUCUAAAUACUUAUGUCUAGUGACACCCUAAACCCCUGACUUUAACCAGCCGACACAUCAUGCUUUCCCUUCCAAAUUCUUCUUUUUUUUCUCUGUAGAUGUCAUCUUCAAUAAACAUAAACACAGGGUAUUCAUCUCCUUCAAUACACACACAUGGAGAUCAUUUCAUCUCCACAAACUCUCAAGACAAACAACAAGCACCAUAACUUCUCCUCCCCAUCGCAAUUUCCAAACCAGCGACCACAAGAAGUGGCGCCGGUUAACCAGCAUGACACCCCCAAACACCUCCACCCCUCCCCUGUUUAUUAGCCGGCGACCAAUUAUAGAAGACGACCACCACCGUCAGGUGGUGAUGGUGAGCGACAGCUCAAGCGAGAGGGAGAGAGAACAGAGAUCGGAGAAAGAGAUCGGACGGCGGUAACACUGCCACUCACGGAGGACAGGCGGCGGUGGCUUUGUUCUUCCGGCGAGUUUCACGGUAACGAUCUGCUGUGGCCAAUGAUGAUGAUGCUGGCGGUGUCAUGCGGCGGCGGUGGUAGUGCCGGCGACAGGAGUGGAGCUCUGUUCCGACUGGGCUCCGGUUUGGGUUGUUUGACUCCGACUCCAGUUCGGGUUUCGGGUUCUCCGGGUCAAACGCAGAUCCUCGGUUCAAAGUUUCGGUCUGGUCAAGCGAGUCAAAAACUGGUCAACAGCUUGGGUCAACGGUCAUACUUGUUCGGUUACAAUUUGAUGUUUAGUAAAAUUUUAAAUGUCUCGAAGUUCAUUUUAUUAUUUAUGUUAUUUUAAUAGCAGAACCGAACUUUAUAUCGACAACAUGUUAUAUGUAACUUUGAAUAAUUGUUGAAUUUUGUCAAUGUUAUCGACAA
Molecule: long non-coding RNA, 1004 nt
Organism: Helianthus annuus (common sunflower)
Lineage: Eukaryota; Viridiplantae; Streptophyta; Magnoliopsida; Asterales; Asteraceae
Exons: 2
Source: RefSeq, a predicted model, not a curated record